AGGCCCCGAGGCGGAUCGGGUAUUGAGUCCAUGGAGCGAGCUGAGAGCUAGAGAACCUGCUAAGGCCAUCAAACCUAUCGAUCGGAAGUCAGUCCAUCAGAUUUGCUCUGGGCCGGUGGUACUGAGUCUAAGCACUGCGGUGAAGGAGUUAGUAGAAAACAGUCUGGAUGCUGGUGCCACCAAUAUUGAUCUAAAGCUUAAGGACUAUGGAGUGGAUCUCAUUGAAGUUUCAGACAAUGGAUGUGGGGUAGAAGAAGAAAACUUUGAAGGCUUAACGAUGUCACCAUUUCUACCUGCCACGCAUCGGCGAAGGUUGGGACUCGACUGGUGUUUGAUCACGAUGGGAAAAUCAUCCAGAAAACCCCCUACCCCCACCCCAGAGGGACCACAGUCAGCGUGAAGCAGUUAUUUUCUACACUACCUGUGCACCAUAAGGAAUUUCAAAGGAAUAUUAAGAAGACGUGCCUGUUUCCCCUUCGCCUUCUGCCGUGAUUGUCAGUUUCCUGAGGCCUCCCCAGCCAUGCUUCCUGUACAGCCUGCAGAACUAUACAACAACCAGAGAAAGAUAAGCAAGAAAAUAAAGCACUUGGACGGGCGCGGUGGCUCACACCUGUAAACCCAGCACUUUGGGAGGCCAAGGCAGGUGGAUCACCUGAGGUCCCGAGUUCAAGACCAGCCUGACCAACCCCAUCUCUACUAAAAAUACAAAAUUAGCUGGGCAUGGUGGCACAUGCCUGUAAUCCCAGCUACUCGGGGGGCUGAGGCAGAAGAAUCGCUUGAACCUGGGAGGUGGAGGUUGUGGCAAGCCGAGAUCGCGCCAUUGCACUCCAGCCUGGGCAACAAGAGCAAAACUCCGUCUCAAAAAAAAAAAAGAAAAAGAAAGAAAGAAAAUAAAGCACUUGAAGGGCA
Molecule: long non-coding RNA, 909 nt
Organism: Homo sapiens (human)
Lineage: Eukaryota; Metazoa; Chordata; Mammalia; Primates; Hominidae
Gene: PMS2P4
Product: PMS1 homolog 2, mismatch repair system component pseudogene 4
Source: Ensembl